This 505-nucleotide ribosomal RNA is filed under the name uncultured bacterium. RNAcentral describes it as "partial 16S ribosomal RNA". It matches the Rfam family "Bacterial small subunit ribosomal RNA", at positions 28 to 507 of the family's 1533-position model. The record is from RNAcentral.
GACGAACGCUGGCGGCGUGCCUAAUACAUGCAGGUAGAACGCACAGUUUAUACCGUAGCUUGCUACACCAUAGACUGUGAGUUGCGAACGGGUGAGUAACGCGUAGGUAACCUGCCUGGUAGCGGGGGAUAACUAUUGGAAACGAUAGCUAAUACCGCAUAAUAUUAAUUAUUGCAUGAUAAUUAAUUGAAAGGUGCAAUUGCACCACUACCAGAUGGACCUGCGUUGUAUUAGCUAGUAGGUGAGGUAACGGCUCACCUAGGCGACGAUACAUAGCCGACCUGAGAGGGUGAUCGGCCACACUGGGACUGCGACACGGCCCAGACUCCUACGGGAGGCAGCAGUAGGGAAUCUUCGGCAAUGGACGAAAGUCUGACCGAGCAACGCCGCGUGAGUGCAGAAGGUUUUCGGAUCGUAAAGCUCUGUUGUAAGAGAAGAACGGGCGUGAGAGUGGAAAGUUCACACUGUGACGGUAUCUUACCAGAAAGGGACGGCUAACUACGUG